Cebus imitator (Panamanian white-faced capuchin) is the source of this 1584-nucleotide RNA transcript. It is a transcript of the gene named calponin-2-like, with no coding region annotated. The record is from RefSeq and is a predicted model, not a curated record. NCBI's taxonomy places the organism in Eukaryota, Metazoa, Chordata, Mammalia, Primates, Cebidae. The transcript has a single exon.
UGUCCCGCCCAGUCCCGCCGCCACGGGCGCCAGCAUGAGCUCCACGCAGUUCAACAAGGGCCCCUCGUACAGGCUGUCGACCGAGGUCAAGAGCCGGCUCCUGUCCAAGUAUGACCCACAGAAGGAGGCAGGCAGAGCUCCGAAGAUGGAUCGAGGGACUCACCGGCCUCUCCAUUGGCCCCGACUUCCAGAAGGGCCUGAAGGGCGGGAUCAUCUUAUGCACACUCAUGAACAAGCUACAGCCAGGCUCAGUCCCCAAGAUCAACUGCUCCAUGCAGAACUGGCACCAGCUGGAAAACCUUUCCAACUUCAUCAAGGCCAUGGUCAGCUACGGCAUGAACCCCGUGGACCUGUUCGAGGCCAAUGACCUGUUUGAGAGCGGGAACCUGACGCAGGUGCAGAUGUCACUUCUCGCCCUGGCGGGGAAGACCAAGACUAAGGGGCUGCAGAGAGGGGUGGACAUUGGCGUCAAGUACUCAGAGAAGCAGGAGCGGAACUUGGACGAUGCCACCAUGAAGGCCGGCCAGUGCGUCAUCAGGCUGCAGAUGGGCACCAACAAAUGUGCCAGCCAGUCGGGCAUGACCGCGUACGGCCCGAGGAGGCAUCUCUACGACCCCAAGAACCACAUCCUGCCCCCCAUGGACCACUCCACCAUCAGCCUCCAAAUGGGCACCAACAAGUGUGCCAGCCAGGUGGGCAUGACCGCUCCCGGGACGCGACAGCACAUCUACGACACCAAACUGGGAACCGACAAGUGUGAUAACUCCUCCAUGUCCCUGCAGAUGGGCUACACGCAGGGCGCCAAGCAGAGCGGCCAGGUCUUCGGCCUGGGCCGGCAGAUAUAUGACCCAAAGUACUGCCCACAAGGCACAGUGGCCGACGGGGCUCCCUCCGAUGCUGGCGACUGCCGGAGCCCGGGGGAGGCCCCUGAAUAUCCCCCUUACUACCAGGAAGAGGCGGGCUACUGAGGCUCCCAGCACACUCUCUCCCCACGCCGUCUCCCCGUCUGGGUUUCUGGGAUUUUCUGUGUUAUCUUUUUUUAUUAACCUGUUCAGUGCUGCCAAUCAGCCGAGGGUCUGUGAGUGGCUCCUGGGAUCAGGCAGCAGGACUUUCUCCCCCUUGCCUUGGUCCUUCGCAGGACUGAGCCACCGGGCUGGGAGGGGAGGGGUCAAGGCCGUAUCCUGAUGCCUGUAGGGUCAGGGUCCCUGCUGGCCCGUCCAAGCUGUGAGCCGAGCUGUGCUGGGGAGAAGAGACCUGGGCUUGGAGGGAACUGGUCCCUGAAGACUUCUGGUUGCCUCGUCUCUUCUCAUUGUGUCACCCUAUCAGUUUGUGGUUUCUGUACCCACAAAAGUUUCAGGAAGUAGUAACAAAAGAAAAAUACUUUUUUCCCCCCAAGGAAUGGGGCGGGGACAGUGGAGAGGGUGCUGGGCAAUGAAUCCCCUGGAAAGGGGGCCUGGCCAGGAUGCUGAAUGUCUCAGGCUCCCAAGUGGCUGGGUUUCCCUCCGACCCUCAGACCUGCCCCGGGGCCUGGUUGGGAAAGUGAGGCCUGUACAAGGAAGCGGAAUUCUGAGUUGUUGGGGCCAA